UGAUCACACAGAUGUCAACCGGAAAUUCCUUCCCAUGAGGCGCUGCAACUGCUCAGCACCUGGUAGUGUUGAGUUCGGAACCAUUAAACCAGUGAGAUUCUCAGUGUCUACCCUUUCUCCCAGAGCUGGGUCUUCUUGUGCGUGGCUUUGACUGUGCCACAGGCAGCCAGUGAUCAGCCAUAGAUAUGGACAUCCUUCUGCAGCCGGUCACAGGACAGCAGUACUCACCCUGAACUACUGCCUUUCUAGACCCUGUUGUCACACCCCAAGAUGAAUCAAACGCCAACAUGGUUGCACCUGCUGUCACAGUCCUCCCGUCCACCACGGGUGACCUUCUGCAGCCGAGUCAUUAUUUGUGACAAUGUCUGUCACUGCUCAGCCUUCCGAUCAGAUCUUCCUUUGCCCACCAGAGUGUAGAUGACUCAGCUGAAGGUGUAGAAUUCUCAGCCACCUCACCACACGUCUAUCUGCCUACACAUCACCAUGUCCCACUGUGAAGACAACAGACUGAACCUCUGAACUAAGAAGAAGCUGACCCUCAGAGAUGAGACACCACUGUGCGGUCCGGUCCCUUGCUUGGCCUUGCAGCUGUGGAGGGAAAACAGCGGUUCACCAGCAGGGGGCGCCCACCUCUUCUGGUCAGCCCACCUGCCUGCUCUAGGCAGUCAGUCCUUGCCUGGCCAUCAGUUUGGCCUCCGGCUGUUGAAUCAAUGCCACAAUGCCUUUCCUCUUCCUGUCUCCAUUUGCAGCCACACAGGGUUGUUCAUCGUGUGCUCACUAACUCCCCCACACUCUUGCUACUGCAGUCUGUGUCCAGAAACCGACAAGGAAGCACCCAGCCAGGCAUGGUCAAUAAGCUUGGUACUGAGGUCCUCUUUCCCCACCAGCUAUAAUCCACACAUGCCACUUAUCACAGGGGUUAAUCUCUGUAGCAUGAAUAUUGAUUGUUUUCCCAGUGUGCCCUUGGGAUGCGUACAAUCUCCAGCAGGACCCCCCACCCCUGCCCAGUUUUCUUGCAAUUUCUCCU
RNAcentral lists this long non-coding RNA (1027 nucleotides) under Cricetulus griseus (Chinese hamster). RNAcentral describes it as "lncRNA (ENSCGRG00015038285.1)". The record is from RNAcentral. Lineage: Eukaryota; Metazoa; Chordata; Mammalia; Rodentia; Cricetidae.